RNAcentral lists this ribosomal RNA (253 nucleotides) under uncultured bacterium. RNAcentral describes it as "partial 16S ribosomal RNA". It matches the Rfam family "Bacterial small subunit ribosomal RNA", at positions 524 to 776 of the family's 1533-position model. The record is from RNAcentral.
UACGAGGGGGGCGAGCGUUGUUCGGAAUUAUUGGGCGUAGAGGGUGCGUAGGCGGUUUGGUAAGUCUUAUGUGAAAUCUAUGGGCUCAACUCAUAGUCUGCAUGAGAAACUGCCGGGCUUGAGUGUGGGAGAGGUGAGUGGAAUUUCCGGUGUAGCGGUGAAAUGCGUAGAUAUCGGAAGGAACACCUGUGGCGAAAGCGGCUCACUGGACCACAACUGACGCUGAUGCACGAAAGCUAGGGGAGCAAACAGG